RNAcentral lists this ribosomal RNA (2727 nucleotides) under Triticum aestivum (bread wheat). Its description in RNAcentral is "partial small subunit ribosomal RNA". The record is from RNAcentral. Lineage: Eukaryota; Viridiplantae; Streptophyta; Magnoliopsida; Poales; Poaceae.
GGGUUCCAGCAAAGCACGAAGCUAACAAUGAUGGAGAUACCUAGCAUUUUCACUCCUGAAGAUUGGUCCUUCGCUUUUUAUGAGGGCCUUAAUCAGCAUCAAGAUUCCACUUCCAGGGAUAAGACGUAUGGAGAGCUGGGGUGUGGCAAUGGUUGGAUAUCUAUUGCGCUUGCAGAGAAGUUGUCCCCUUUGAAGGUCUAUGGUCUGGAUAUUAACCCAAGGGCCAUCAAGAUUGCAUGGAUAAAUCUAUACUUGAAUGCCAUAGACGACAAUGGUCUCCCGGUCUAUGACAGGGAGGGAAAAACAUUGCUGGAUAGAGUUGAAUUCCAUGAAUCUGAUCUUCUUUCAUACUGUAUAGAUAACAAGAUAGAACUUGAUUGCAUUGUUGGCUGCAUACCACAGAUUCUUAACCCCAAUCCAGAGGCAAUGUCAAAGAUUAUGACUGAAAAUUCAAGUGAGAAGUUCUUGUACUCCUUGAGAAACUACUGUGCUCUUCAGGGUUUUUUUGAGGACCAGUUUGGCCUCGGGUUGAUUGCUCGGGCAGUUGAAGAAGGGAUAGCUGUCAUAAAGCCUAUGGGUAUCAUGAUAUUCAACAUAGGAGGCCGACCAGGUCAAGGUGUCUGUGAACGCCUAUUUCUACGCCGUGGAUUCCAUAUCAGUAAGCUCUGGCAAACAAAAAUUAUGCAGGCUGCCGACACUGAUAUUUCAGCUUUAGUUGAAAUUGAACAAAACAGCCCACAUCAAUUUGAAUUUUUUAUGGACCUUGUCGGGGAUCAGUCUGUCUCUGCACGCACAGCCCAGGCAUACAUGAAAUCUGGUGGCUGUGUUUCACAUGCUUUGUCUGUGUAUGGCUGCCAACUUCACAAACCCAUUCAGGUGAAGAAAUUGUUUGAGAUUCUUAAAGAUGGGUUCAAUGAAAUCAGCAGCUCCCUUGAUUUGUCCUUUGAUAAUGAUUUGGUUGCUGCUGAAAAAAUGGCCUUCCUAGUAUACCUUGCUAGUUUUUUGAAAGAGAAUAAGUCCAAUCCUUGUGAGCCUCCAUUUGGAUGUUUAAACUUCCGGAAUCUUGUUGCUGACUUUAUGAAGAGCUACUACAACAUCCCAUUAACUUCUGAUAAUGUUGCUGUAUUCCCUUCUCGUGCUGUUGCCAUAGAAAUUUCUCUUCGACUGUUCUCACCGGCGCUUGCAAUUGUGGAUGAACAUCUGACCAGACACUUGCCGAAACAAUGGUUAACAUCCUCAGCAAUUGAGGGAAGAGCAGAUUGUAACCAUGCUAAAGACACAGUCAUUGCAAUUGCAGCACCACACCAAUCAGAUCUGCUGAUUGAGUUGAUCAGGAAACUGAAGCCUCAGGUGGUUGUUACUGGCCUGGCUAAGUUUGAGGCUAUCACGAGUGCUGCUCUAGUGAAUAUACUAAGUGCAACAAGAGAUGUUGGUUCCCGGCUAUUCGUAGAUAUUUCAGAGCAUCUGGAGUUGUCUAGCCCGCCAAACUCUAAUGGUGUGUUGAAGUAUUUUGCUGAGAACACCCUACCGUCGCAUGCAGUUAUACUCUGUGGUCUAGUAAAGGAUCAGGUUUAUUCUGAUCUGGAAGUUGGUUUUGCCAUAUCUGAGGAUGAAACUGUCUAUAAGGCAUUGUCACAAACUAUUGAGCUAUUGGAAGGACAUACUUCUGUGAUCAGCCAGCAAUAUUAUAGCUGUCUUUUUCGCGAGCUACUGGCGCUCCAAAUUGACAACCGGCAUGCACAGCGAGAGAGACAACCUGCAGAAGUGAUACCUCAGAAGAUGAUAGGAUUUUCUAAUUCAGCUAUGUCAACCCUAAAAGAAGCUGAAUUUUUCGUUCCUGAAUCCAAGGAAUCUAGUAUCAUUCAUAUGGAUCUAGACCGCAGCUUCUUGCCAGUACCUUCUGUGGUGAACACUUCCAUUUUUGAAAGUUUUGUUAGGCAGAACAUCACGGAUUCUGAAACUGAUGUUCAUUUCGGCAUUAAAAAGCUGGUGAAAUGUUGCUAUGGUGGUUUCCCAGAUGGCUUUGGUAUGGAAAUUAUCUAUGGAAGCACCUGUGUUGCACUCUUCAACAAGCUUGUUCUUUGCUGCGUGCAAGAACAAGGUACCUUCUUUUUCCCUUUGGGCACCAAUGGGCACUAUGUCUCAGCAGCAAAGUUUAUGAACGCAAACAUCUCGACCAUUCCAACAAAUUCAGAUUCAGGAUUCAAGAUUGAACCAAUGGCUCUAAACGAAGCUCUAAUUGAGGAAGAAAAUUGGGCCUGGGUCUAUAUUUCUGGCCCUACAAUUAACCCUUCUGGUUUCCUGUACAGUGACAAGGAGAUACGAGAUCUGCUUUCUAUUUGUGCUAUGCAUGGAGCUAGGGUAGUGAUAGAUACCUCCUUCUCUGGUCUGGAGUUCCAAACCGACCGCUGGGCUUGGAGAAAUUUGGAAAGAUUUUCUUAUAAUGUUUGCUUAGAUCCCCCAUUCACAGCUUUUAUGCUCGGAGAGCUGUCCCUUGGGCUGACUGCGAUUGGCCUUGAUUUUGGGUUUUUAAGUUUCAAUGACCUGUCCGUCGUUGAACAUAAUCUUGCAAACUUGAGUCAGCCACAUAGCACAUUGAAGUACACUUUCAGAAAGCUAUUGGGUCUUAAGAACAAGAGGGAUCAACACUUCUCUAAUCUCAUCAUGGAGCAAAAGGAGACACUGAAAAAUCGUGCCAACCACUUAGCAAAGGUUAGCCUUUUGUAA